CCGAAUGGGGAAACCCACGUGCGUGAUAAACGCACGGACUCGUGUCUCACUUUCGUUCGACACUUUUGACAAAUUGACUAAUUGACUAAUUGACAAGUUAAAUUGUUAAAUUGUUAAGUUGUUAAAUUGUUAAGUUGUUCGUGGCGAGCGGAAGCGAGACACGAGAGUGAACCUGGGGAAGUGAAACAUCUCAGUACCCAGAGGAAAAGAAAAAAUUUUUUUAUUCCUUUAGUAGCGGCGAGCGAAAAAGGAAAAAGCCCAAACCAAGCACAUAACUUUGUUAUGUGCUCGGGGUUGUAAGAAAAUAUCGUUUUAAAAAAGGAGAACAUUUAGGUAGAAAUUGGUUAAAAGAAAUUUCUUGGAAAGGAAUACCAUAGAGGGUGAUAGUCCCGUAUUUAAAAACUUUUCUACGCUCCUAGAUUUUUUCUUGAGUACCAUGAGUUAUGAAAAUCUUGUGGGAAACAGGCUGAACUAUCAGCCAAGGCUAAAUACUAUCCACUCACCGAUAGCGAAUUAGUACCGUGAGGGAAAGGUGAAAAGUAGCCCGGUGAGGGCGGUGAAAUAGAACCUGAAACCAUUUGCUUACAAAGAGUCGGAGCCCCGCUUAUAGCGGGGUGACGGCGUGCUUUUUGUAGAACGAGCCAACGAGUCCUCGCUCUCUCUUUAUCUAAGGGGUUUUGCCCCGGAGGUGAAGAGAAAUCGAGCGUUAAUAGCGCGAAAUUGAGAGAGGGCGGGGGACCCGAAGCCAAGCGAGCUUGCCAUGACCAAGGUGAAUCCCGCAGAAAUGCGGGAGGAGGCCUGAACCCGUGAGCCGUGCAAUACUCUGGGAUGAGUUGUGGUAAGAAGUGAAAAGCUAAACGAGCUUGGGAAUAGCUGGUUCUCCCCGAAAUAGCUUUAGGGCUAGCGUCCAUUAAAUCUUAUUUCCAGAGGUAGAGCACUAGAUGAGAUUGCUUGAGCUUUUGCUUAGUUUUCUCAACUAAACUCCGAAUGCUGGAAAUUUAAAAUGGAUAGUUAGACUGUGAGGGCUAAGCUUCAUAGUCAAAAGGGGGAAAGCCCAGAUCAUCAUCUAAGGUCCCAAAAUUUGAGCUAAGUGUAAUAAGGAAGUGGAAUUUCUUAGAUAGCUAGAAGGUUAGCUUAGAAGCAGCUAUCCUUUAAAAAGUGCGUAAUAGCUUACUAGCUAAGAGAUUUUGCGCCAAAAAAUUUAGGGGGCUAAAGCUCAAUACCGAAGAUAUGGUUGAGCAAUAACUUGUUUAUUGCUCGAGGUAGGGGAGCAUCCCGCCUGUUGUGAAGUCCCGUCGUAAGGCGGAAUGGAACGGGCGGAAGUGAGAAUGUUGGCAUGAGUAACCACAAUGCCGCUGAGAAAGCGGCAGUCCGCAAGUCUAAGGUUUCCUUGGCAAUGACAAUCAACCAAGGGUUAGGCGGUCCUAAGGUGAACCCGAAAGGGAUAACCGAUGGAUAGCCGGUUAAUAUUCCGGCCCCCGCGUACAUAAUUCUGAGAAGGGACACAGUCAAAGUUCUUGAGAAGAUUAUUGGAUUUCCAGGUUGGAGUAAUUCCAGCCGCCUCAAGGAUAAGACUGUCUAGAAAAGCUUUUCAGAAGUUAAUUAUGUGCUCGGUCCGUACCUCAAACCGACACAGGUAGACUAGUAUAAAUGUACUAAGGACAACGGGUGAAAGCUCUUGAAGGAACUAGGCAAAAAAGUGGUCGUAAGUUCGCGAUAAGACCUUCCCGCAGAAAUGCGGGACACAGCAAAAAUUUCUCUGACGACUGUUUAUCAAAAACACAGGUCCCUGCUAACUCGUAAGAGGAUGUAUAGGGGCCGAGACCUGACCAGUGCUGGAGUGUUAUCCUCGCCGGUCCAAGCCCAUAAGUUUUUAUGUGCUCGGGCUGAGUGAAUUAAGCCUCCAGUGAACGUCCGCGGUAACUCUGACCGUGUUAAAGUAGCGUAAUCCCUUGCCAGGUAAGUUCUGGCCCGCAUGAAAGGUUUAACGAUCGGAGAACUGUCUCCAAGAGCAGCCCGGUGAAAAUGUAAUAACGGUGAAGAUACCGUUUACCUGCGGCUAGACGGAAAGACCCCGAGAGCUUUACUGUAUGGUAAUAUUGAGCUCUGGGUUUGAAUGCGUAGUGUAGCGGGGAGGCGUUGAAGUUCCGCUUUCGGGCGGAAUGGAGCCAACAAUGAAACACCCGUCUUUUAAACUCUCAGUUCUAACUCUUGUUAAAAGCAAGAAAACAGUGUUACUUUGACAGUUUAAGUGGGGCGCUUGCCUCCAAAAAGGUAACGGAGGCGUUUAAAGGUCGGCUAACUCCGGAUGGAAAUCGGAGCGAUAGGGCAAAGCCAAAAGCCGGCUUUACAGCGAGACGUAUUUGUCGAGCUGUUGGGAAACCAGAACUUAGUGAACCGACGGAUUUUUAUAGAAAAUCCGAAGAUCAUCAACCAAAAGCUACCUCGGGGAUAACAGGCUGGUAGGGCCCGCGAGUCCAUAUCUACGGCCCUGUUCGGCACCUUAACAUAUCGGGGUGCUACAGUAGCAAUACUGUAUUCCGUUUAAAGCGGAACGAAAAAACUGACUUAUAACG
RNAcentral lists this ribosomal RNA (2576 nucleotides) under Candidatus Nealsonbacteria bacterium CG_4_10_14_0_2_um_filter_39_15. RNAcentral describes it as "bacterial LSU rRNA". It matches the Rfam family "Bacterial large subunit ribosomal RNA", at positions 114 to 2618 of the family's 2925-position model. Lineage: Bacteria; Candidatus Nealsoniibacteriota. The record is from RNAcentral.